This 497-nucleotide ribosomal RNA is filed under the name uncultured bacterium. RNAcentral's name for it is "partial 16S ribosomal RNA". It matches the Rfam family "Bacterial small subunit ribosomal RNA", at positions 28 to 507 of the family's 1533-position model. The record is from RNAcentral.
GAUGAACGCUGGCGGCGUGCCUAAUACAUGCAAGUCGAGCGAACGGACGAGAAGCUUGCUCCUCUGAUGUUAGCGGCGGACGGGUGAGUAACACGUGGAUAACCUACCUAUAAGACUGGGAUAACUUCGGGAAACCGUAGCUAACACCGGAUAAUAUUUUGAACCGCAUGGUUCAAAAGUGAAAGACGGUCUUGCUGUCACUUAUAGAUGGAUCCGCGCUGCAUUAGCUAGUUGGUAAGGUAACGGCUUACCAAGGCAACGAUGUGUAGCCGGUCUGAGAGGGUGAUCGGCCACACUGGAACUGAGACACGGUCCAGACUCCUACGGGAGGCAGCAGUAGGGAAUCUUCGGCAAUGGGCGAAAGCCUGACGGAGCAACGCCGCGUGAGUGAUGAAGGUCUUCGGAUCGUAAAGCUCUGUUGUUAGGGAAGAACAUAUGUGUUAGAAACUGUGCAGAUCUUGACGGUACCUGAUCAAAAAGCAACGGCUAACUACGUG